UGGGAGGAUUUUAGGGGUGAAAAGGAGGGAGUUUGGGCACUCCCUCAGAUGUGGGGUUUGUUCAUCUUCAACCUGGGAAGGUUUUGGAGACGGGGGAGGAUUUUUUAGGGGGUGAGGGGGGAUUUGGGGGUGAGGGCUGGAAACUGGGGGAGGGACGAUUUUGGGGGUGAAAAGGGCGUUUCCCCAGGCAGCAGUUUCACAGUGCAGGAUCCGAACCUGGGGAGGUUUUUAGGGAGGGAGGGGAGGGGAAUUUUGGGAAGAGUGUUUUUGGGGUGGGGGGGGUCCCCCCCAUCCCUAAGGCCACGGUCUCUCAUUCCCUCAAGAUCAGUACCUGGGAAAUGCGCCGGUGGGCUCUGGGGUCUAUCGCCUGCACCAGGGAAAAGGUAUGAUGCCGCCGCCGCUGGGUAUGCUGCCC
Long non-coding RNA from Neopelma chrysocephalum (saffron-crested tyrant-manakin), 415 nucleotides. RefSeq lists it as uncharacterized. The record is from RefSeq and is a predicted model, not a curated record. The transcript has 2 exons. Lineage: Eukaryota; Metazoa; Chordata; Aves; Passeriformes; Pipridae.